Molecule: ribosomal RNA, 945 nt
Filed under: Triticum aestivum (bread wheat)
Lineage: Eukaryota; Viridiplantae; Streptophyta; Magnoliopsida; Poales; Poaceae
Description: partial small subunit ribosomal RNA
Source: RNAcentral
AUGGGAGAAAUAAUUGAACCAAAGGCCAAGGGGGGACUUGGCUUUCGUGACUUCCGCAUCUUCAACCAGGCCUUGCUUGCUCGUCAAGCCUGGCGGCUACUCACCAGACCGGAUUCCUUAUGCUCUCAGGUAUUGAAAGCAAAAUAUUAUCCUAACGGGUCCCUUGAGGAUACGGUUUUUUCAGGUAAUGCGUCCCCAACAUGGCACGCGAUCCAGCAUGGCCUCGAGUUGCUUAAGCAGGGGCUUGUGUGGCGAGUGGGCAACGGUGCGAGUAUCCGCAUAUGGCGGGACCCCUGGAUCCCGCGGCCCACGUCUUAUAGGCCAAUCACGGCGCGUGGCACAUGCCGGCUCCGGCGAGUGUCAGAACUCCUUGACGACAACGGCCGAUGGCGGGUAGGUCUCCUUCAACAAUUCUUCACCAUCCCGGAUGUGGAAUGCAUCUUGUCGAUCAAAACCAGCCCGCAAGGACUGGAUGACGUCCUAGCUUGGGCCCCUGACACCCGCGGCAUCUUCACUAUACGCAGCGUGUACAACCUUGCCCUGGAAGGGCGAACCAGCACCACCGUGUGCUCCACGAGGAGGGCACCGGACGACACUCGUGCCGUCUGGAAGGCAGUGUGGGGGUGCCCUGCUCCCCCGAAGGUACGAGUAUUUGCAUGGCGUGUUGCAACGAACUCGCUGGCCACUCUUGAAAAUAAGCUUAAGCGAAAGCUCGAGGUCUCUAAUAUUUGUGUUUUUUGUGGAAUGGAGCGGGAGGACACAUUCCAUGCCUUAUGCAGGUGUCCCUUGGCGCGGCGAUUAUGGAUGGCGAUGGCGAGCACAUGGAGCAUGCCAAAGGUGGAUUCCAUCGCCAACAUAGGCCCAGAAUGGAUUAUUCAUCUGCUGGAUGGGUGUAGCGAUGUUGAACGCUUACCAAUUAUAAUGACCCUAUGGCGGAACUGGUAA